This is a long non-coding RNA of Fundulus heteroclitus (mummichog), 882 nucleotides long. RefSeq lists it as uncharacterized. The transcript has 2 exons. Lineage: Eukaryota; Metazoa; Chordata; Actinopteri; Cyprinodontiformes; Fundulidae. The record is from RefSeq and is a predicted model, not a curated record.
CACAAUGCUCUGAUAGUCAUGGUGAUCACGAUGAUGUAUGAUGAUUCUCAGCACUAAACUAAAGGCCGGGUUUUUGCUUUUCUAAAUGCCUGUAAGACUUAUGUCUUCAUAAGCGAGGCACUGAUCACCCCUCUGCAUCCCAUCAUCUACCUUUAAUCAACUCGAGGCAUUUUACAGUGCAUUACGUCAAAUAUCCACGGACUAAUAAAGAGCGGGGCGGCCGGGAGGUUGCGGUGAAGGUCGACGCCUUUAUCAGCGGUCUGUCGGGCGUUAUUUAUUCGUUUGGUUCUGGAAGCAGCCGCUACACGCGGUGUGUCCGAGGCGAUGAGAGACACAAAUCAAGCCCGCCUCCUUGGCCACGGCAAAAACAGCUCCUGCAGCCAGGGAGAGUAUGCGGGGCUCUCACGUUGCAGGAGCUUAACGGCCCGUCAGGAGUUGCUGGCUCACUAUCAAGUCGCUGGUGGAGGACACAGCUGACGGGCCUUCCUGACUUGGCUUCUCGAGCUUCCUGUUCGACACACUCCUCCAAGUCACUGCAUCCCCACAGAUCAUCUUCCUAAAGAGAAACAGAAGUGUCUACUGGUGGAUCUAUUGGUCUACUGACAGAUUCCAGCCUCAAGAUAAAAACCAUGAUCUCAUUUCAAUGGAAUCACCAAACUUGGGACUGGCCUGCUUCCAGGAUGACAUAAUCAAGGGACAAACGGGGUCAACUGGUUCCCCUCGUCAGAGAGGCACGGUGCCGCUUUGUACGCCUUUAAAGCACUACUUUGAAAAGGCUUCCGGAUAUAAUUCCAUUGAAAUUACUAAAACCUUUGUGGUAAGUUUGUGGAUUUUAUUAUAGUAAAAAGCACAGGAACUCAUAAAAUACUUCCUCAUUUUGAA